UGCAUAGCCGACCUGAGAGGGUGAUCGGCCACACUGGAACUGAGACACGGUCCAGACUCCUACGGGAGGCAGCAGUAGGGAAUCUUCCGCAAUGGGCGAAAGCCUGACGGAGCAACGCCGCGUGAGUGAUGAAGGUCUUCGGAUCGUAAAACUCUGUUAUUAGGGAAGAACAUAUGUGUAAGUAACUGUGCACAUCUUGACGGUACCUAAUCAGAAAGCCACGGCUAACUACGUGCCAGCAGCCGCGGUAAUACGUAGGUGGCAAGCGUUAUCCGGAAUUAUUGGGCGUAAAGCGCGCGUAGGCGGUUUUUUAAGUCUGAUGUGAAAGCCCACGGCUCAACCGUGGAGGGUCAUUGGAAACUGGAAAACUUGAGUGCAGAAGAGGAAAGUGGAAUUCCAUGUGUAGCGGUGAAAUGCGCAGAGAUAUGGAGGAACACCAGUGGCGAAGGCGACUUUCUGGUCUGUAACUGACGCUGAUGUGCGAAAGCGUGGGGAUCAAACAGGAUUAGAUACCCUGGUAGUCCACGCCGUAAACGAUGAGUGCUAAGUGUUAGGGGGUUUCCGCCCCUUAGUGCUGCAGCUAACGCAUUAAGCACUCCGCCUGGGGAGUACGACCGC
RNAcentral lists this ribosomal RNA (618 nucleotides) under Staphylococcus aureus. RNAcentral describes it as "bacterial SSU rRNA". It matches the Rfam family "Bacterial small subunit ribosomal RNA", at positions 280 to 889 of the family's 1533-position model. The record is from RNAcentral. Lineage: Bacteria; Bacillati; Bacillota; Bacilli; Caryophanales; Staphylococcaceae.